GACGAACGCUGGCGGCGUGCUUAACACAUGCAAGUCGAACGGAAAGGCCCUGCUUUUGUGGGGUGCUCGAGUGGCGAACGGGUGAGUAACACGUGAGUAACCUGCCCUUGACUUUGGGAUAACUUCAGGAAACUGGGGCUAAUACCGGAUAGGAGCUCCUGCUGCAUGGUGGGGGUUGGAAAGUUUCGGCGGUUGGGGAUGGACUCGCGGCUUAUCAGCUUGUUGGUGGGGUAGUGGCUUACCAAGGCUUUGACGGGUAGCCGGCCUGAGAGGGUGACCGGCCACAUUGAGACUGAGAUACGGACCAGACUCCUACGGGAGGCAGCAGUGGGGAAUAUUGCACAAUGGGCGGAAGCCUGAUGCAGCAACGCCGCGUGCGGGAUGACGGCCUUCGGGUUGUAAACCGCUUUCGCCUGUGACGAAGCGUGAGUGACGGUAAUGGGUAAAGAAGCACCGGCUAACUACGUG
This 468-nucleotide ribosomal RNA is filed under the name uncultured bacterium. RNAcentral describes it as "partial 16S ribosomal RNA". It matches the Rfam family "Bacterial small subunit ribosomal RNA", at positions 28 to 507 of the family's 1533-position model. The record is from RNAcentral.